This 4944-nucleotide long non-coding RNA is filed under the name Oncorhynchus mykiss (rainbow trout). RNAcentral's name for it is "lncRNA (ENSOMYG00000062152.1)". The record is from RNAcentral. Lineage: Eukaryota; Metazoa; Chordata; Actinopteri; Salmoniformes; Salmonidae.
AAUGACUGGUUUCACGUGUCCAUCCAUGUCUGAAUCAGCUGUUACUGUCCUUGUUGCAGUUUCUGUCCAUGGUGGUCUGAUAUCUCAAAGCUGAUCAAGUUCCUGGUGGGUCUCCUGUCUCAAGCAGUAGAGUGGGAGGAGCAGUCAGGAGAGAAGACACUGAAGCUGGUAUCAUCAGUGUGUACUUACAGAACCUUCCCUUUCUGUGACGGGGAUGAUGAGGAUGAGUGGUUUCAAUGUGAUCUCCUGCUGGAUCUGUACUCACAUGUGGAGGACUAUGAGACUAAAACAGGCAGGAGUGUCCUUCCAUCAUUGAGACCACUUUAUCAGUCAGCUCCUGCAGUCUGGUCCAUAGACCUCUCAGAGAGAAAGGCCUCCCUCCUCCUAGAAGUGCUGAAACUCCAACCAGAGAAGAAACCAGUACAGCUGAAAGGCUGGUCAGAUGAAGAGAGUGAAGUGAGGAGUUUCCUUCAGUGUCUGCCUUACAUCUCACAGCUGAGUUUUACUCCACCACAGUAUCAGAGAAGAUCCCCUGAAGAGUGGAGAAAGAGAGAGAAGACAUUCCUACUGAAUCUGUGUCUUCAAGCAGCCCUCCAUGAGAGAGAAACCAUACAAACAACUGUAGGGAAAGUGUUGUCACUGUCUGAAGUUUAUCAGGGUCGGAAAUGGGAUCUCCUGCUGGAUCUGUACUCUCACGUGAAGGACUAUGAGACUAAAACAGGCAGGAGUGUCCUUCCAGCAUUACAGCCAGUUUACCAGUCAGCUCCUGCAGUCUGGUCCAUAGACCUCUCAGAGAGAAAGGCUUCCCUCCUCCUUGAAGUGCUGAAACUCCAACCAGAGAAGAAAUCAGUAGAGCUGUGGGACUGGUCAGAUGAAGAGAGUGAAGUGAGGAGUUUCCUUCAGUGUCUGCCCUACAUCUCACAGCUGAGUUUCUGUCCAUGGUGGUCUGAUAUCUCAAAGCUGAUCAAGUUCCUGGUGGGUCUCCUGUCUCAAGCAGUAGAGUGGGAGGAGCAGUCAGGAGAGAAGACACUGAAGCUGGUAUCAUCAGUGUGUACUUACAGAACCUUCCCUUUCUGUGACGGGGAUGAUGAGGAUGAGUGGUUUCAAUGUGAUCUCCUGCUGGAUCUGUACUCACAUGUGGAGGACUAUGAGACUAAAACAGGCAGGAGUGUCCUUCCAUCAUUGAGACCACUUUAUCAGUCAGCUCCUGCAGUCUGGUCCAUAGACCUCUCAGAGAGAAAGGCCUCCCUCCUCCUAGAAGUGCUGAAACUCCAACCAGAGAAGAAACCAGUACAGCUGAAAGGCUGGUCAGAUGAAGAGAGUGAAGUGAGGAGUUUCCUUCAGUGUCUGCCUUACAUCUCACAGCUGAGUUUUACUCCACCACAGUAUCAGAGAAGAUCCCCUGAAGAGUGGAGAAAGAGAGAGAAGACAUUCCUACUGAAUCUGUGUCUUCAAGCAGCCCUCCAUGAGAGAGAAACCAUACAAACAACUGUAGGGAAAGUGUUGUCACUGUCUGAAGUUUAUCAGGGUCGGAAAUGGGAUCUCCUGCUGGAUCUGUACUCUCACGUGAAGGACUAUGAGACUAAAACAGGCAGGAGUGUCCUUCCAGCAUUACAGCCACUUUACCAGCCAGCUCCUGCAGUCUGGUUCAUAGAUCUCAGAAAGAGAAACGUCUCCCUCCUCCUAGAAGUGCUGAAACUCCAACCAGAGAAGAAAUCAGUAGAGCUGUGGGACUGGUCAGAUGAAGAGAGUGAAGUGAGGAGUUUCCUUCAGUGUCUGCCCUACAUCUCACAGCUGAGUUUCUGUCCAUGGUGGUCUGAUCCCUCAAAGCUGAUCAAGUUCCUGGUGGGUCUCCUGUCUCAAGCAGCAGAGUGGGAGGAGCAGUCAGGAGAGAAGACACUGAAGCUGGUGUCAUCAGUGUGUACUUACAGAACCUUCCCUUUCUGUGACGAGGUUUAUUUUGAUGAGUCGUUUCAAUGGGAUCUCCUGCUGGAUCUGUAUUCACAUGUGAAGGACUAUGAGACUCAAACAGGCAGGAGUGUCCUUCCAGCAUUACAGCCAGUUUACCAGCCAGCUCCUGCAGUCUGGUUCAUAGAUCUCUCAGAGAGAAAGGUCUCCCUCCUCCUAGAAGUGCUGAAACUCCAACCAGAGAAGAAAUCAGUAGAGCUGAAAGGCUGGUCAGAUGAAGAGAGUGAAGUGAGGAGUUUCCUUCAGUGUCUGCCCUACAUCUCACAGCUGAGGUUUGCUCCACCACAGGAUCAGAUAGGAUCCCCUGAAGAGUGGAGAAAGAGAGAGAAGACAUUCCUACUGAAUCUGUGUCUUCAAGCAGCCCUCCAUGAGAGAGAAACCAUACAAACAACUGUAGAGAAAGUGUUGUCACUGUCUGAAGUUUAUCAGGGUCGGAAAUGGGAUCUCCUACUGGAUCUGUACUCUCAUGUGAAGGACUAUGAGACUCAAACAGGCAGGAGUGUCCUUCCAGCAUUACAGACAGUUUACCAGUCAGCUCCUGCAGUCUGGUCCAUAGACCUCAGAGAGAGAAAGGUCUCCCUCCUCCUAGAAGUGCUGAAACUCCAACCAGAGAAGAAAUCAGUAGAGCUGAAAGGCUGGUCAGAUGAAGAGAGUGAAGUGAGGUGUUUCCUUCAGUGUCUGCCCUACAUCUCACAGCUGAGUUUCUGUCCAUGGUGGUCUGAUAUCUCAAAGCUGAUCAAGUUCCUGGUGGGUCUCCUGUCUCAAGCAGCAGAGUGGGAGGAGCAGUCAGGAGAGAAGACACUGAAGCUGGUGUCAUCAGUGUGUAUUUACAGAACCUUCCCUUUCUGUGACGGGGAUGAUUUUGAUGAGUCGUUUCAAUGUGAUUUCCUGCUGGAUCUGUAUUCACAUGUGAAGGACUAUGAGACUCAAACAGGCAGGAGUGUCCUUCCAACAUUACAGACAGUUUACCAGUCAGCUCCUGCAGUCUGGUCCAUAGACCUCUCAGAGAGAAAGGCCUCCCUCCUCCUAGAAGUGCUGAAACUCCAACCAGAGAAGAAACCAGUAGAGCUGAAAGGCUGGUCAGAUGAAGAGAGUGAAGUGAGGAGUUUCCUUCAGUGUCUGCCCUACAUCUCACAGCUGAGCUGUGAUUCUGACAGGUUCUUCCAGCGUGUGUGUGAAUCCAUCCCUGUGAGGUCCAGAGAGGAUGCCCAGCAGUUGGCCUCUCUCCUCCAGGCCUUGGGCUCCACCCUGUCACUGGGAGGACAGUUACCCAGGAAAACCUGCAGGUCUGUGGUGAGAGUGCUUGGCCUCUGUGCCUCCAGAGUGGACCUCACUCUCACCCCCAGCAAGAUCUCUCUGAAAGGAGCCUCACUUCUCUUCACACAUGUAUCACAGCUACACAAGCUCAGGCUGAAUGUGGGCAUGGCAGUGAGACUGGCCAGACUGGCUAGGAGGACAGGGAGAGGGGGUUCUCCACUGACUGUCCCAGAGCUCUCCCUGGUCCUAAAGAGCAGCCAGCCACCAGAGAAAGUGUUAUCCAGGGCUCUGAGUAGUGUGGCGUCCCUGCUGAGACUCUGGACGGUGCAGUGUCUGGACCUGACUGACUUCUGCAUCCAGGGUCACUCUCUCAUCACACUACUUUGUCACCAAGGCCCUCUCACUCUCAGACUGCACUCAGACACCCUGCAGCAGCUGGCUGUAGUUGUGUAUGAAGCUCAGGACAAGGACUUGACUCGGUGGUUCCUGGAGAAGGUUGGUGGAGACCUGACCUCCUGUAGGCUGGACUGGGAGGUGCUUCUCUCUCUGCUGCAGCAUUCAACCCACAACAUCACAGUGGACCUCAGGAAGAACAGGCUUCUAGAGAAGAACAUCUCAGAUCUUUUCCCCUUUCUGGGAAGGGUUAUAUUCAAGAGGCUCAGUUCCAGCUUUGUGAAGUCCACCAUCAGACAGAUCUAUGACAGUAGAGCCAGUGACUGUGUGUCCAGUUUGUUGAGGUCUUCAGACCAUUGGAUCAACCUGAACAGCAGAGAGCUGGACAGAGUGGACUGUACUGCGCUGUGUUUCACCCUGCAGCACAGCCACCAAGUCAAAGUCAACCUGCUGUGGACCUCCAUACCACCGGGGGAGAUAGAGAGCAUCCUGCCUCUUCUGGACAGAGUCUCCCAACUCAGUGUUGACAGGAUGCUGUUGCUGAGUUUCCUCCACUCCUGCGCUGCCUCUCAGAUCCUGCAGGGGGCACUAUCACCACCUUCAGCAAUAACAACAGCAGCAGCAGAGCUGCUCAGGGCUCUGCAGCACAGGUUGGACUUCUCCUGCUCCUCCUCUGUGGACCUGUCGGCUCACGACCAGGGGGAGGCGCUGUGUCUGACCACUGACCACUGUAGGGCCAUAAACUCUGUUCUGAAGCAGAGCCAGCACAGCACACAGCUGGUUCAGAACCCGACCCAGAACCAGUCCCGAAACCAGCCCCAGGUGCAGCUCAUCCUUAAAGACUGUGAGGUGGAGCACGGAGCACUGAGAGAGCUGCUUCCCAUCCUGCAUAUUGUCAAGCUGAGCCCCAGCAAAGCUCUGCUACUUCAGCUGGUGGACCAUGUGUGUGAGGGGAUUGAAGAGGGAGUGCUGAGGAACGCAGUAUCCCUGUGCAGAGCCCUGGAUGGGGAGCUGGACCUCAGUGAGACCAGGCUGAACCAAAAGGCCUGUGGAUCUCUGGCCCUGGUUCUGGAACACUCAGAGGGGCUGUCAGAACUGGACCUCAGCCACUGCCAACUCACAGACCGCCAUCUACAGCCCCUGCUCACACACCUGCACAAAGUUGAAGUCCUUGACCUGAGUCACAAUGACAUCACUGAUGCUCUGACCGACAGAAUUCUCCAACUGGUCUCCACCAACACUUCAAUCCGCACCGUACGGCUCUUCAGCAACAGAAUCAAGGACAGAAGUCCGUUCCUGACAGACAAGAGGUUUGACAUCUGGUGA